GAGGGGGAUAACUACUGGAAACGGUAGCUAAUACCGCAUAACGUCGCAAGACCAAAGAGGGGGACCUUCGGGCCUCUUGCCAUCGGAUGUGCCCAGAUGGGAUUAGCUAGUAGGUGGGGUAACGGCUCACCUAGGCGACGAUCCCUAGCUGGUCUGAGAGGAUGACCAGCCACACUGGAACUGAGACACGGUCCAG
This 196-nucleotide ribosomal RNA is filed under the name uncultured Enterobacterales bacterium. RNAcentral describes it as "partial 16S ribosomal RNA". It matches the Rfam family "Bacterial small subunit ribosomal RNA", at positions 136 to 334 of the family's 1533-position model. The record is from RNAcentral. Lineage: Bacteria; Pseudomonadati; Pseudomonadota; Gammaproteobacteria; Enterobacterales.